GACGAACGCUGUCGGCGUGCUUAACACAUGCAAGUCGAACGGAAAGGCCCUGCUUUUGUGGGGUGCUCGAGUGGCGAACGGGUGAGUAACACGUGAGUAACCUGCCCUUGACUUUGGGAUAACUUCAGGAAACUGGGGCUAAUACCGGAUAGGAGCUCCUGCUGCAUGGUGGGGGUUGGAAAGUUUCGGCGGUUGGGGAUGGACUCGCGGCUUAUCAGCUUGUUGGUGGGGUAGUGGCUUACCAAGGCUUUGACGGGUAGCCGGCCUGAGAGGGUGACCGGCCACAUUGGGACUGAGAUACGGCCCAGACUCCUACGGGAGGCAGCAGUGGGGAAUAUUGCACAAUGGGCGGAAGCCUGAUGCAGCAACGCCGCGUGCGGGAUGACGGCCUUCGGGUUGUAAACCGCGUUCGCCUGUGACGAAGCGUGAGUGACGGUAAUGGGUAAAGAAGCACCGGCUAACUACGUG
This 468-nucleotide ribosomal RNA is filed under the name uncultured bacterium. RNAcentral's name for it is "partial 16S ribosomal RNA". It matches the Rfam family "Bacterial small subunit ribosomal RNA", at positions 28 to 507 of the family's 1533-position model. The record is from RNAcentral.